Molecule: long non-coding RNA, 655 nt
Organism: Camellia sinensis
Lineage: Eukaryota; Viridiplantae; Streptophyta; Magnoliopsida; Ericales; Theaceae
Source: RefSeq, a predicted model, not a curated record
UCUAUAUCUCUCCUAAAUUCCUCCAAAAUUCAGCCGGAGCUCCAAAGCUUCUGCUUACUAAAACCAGACUCUCACUUUCACAACCAAAUUAGCAAACAUUUUCAGAGGGACAAAGCUCAUCAAUGAUCGUCUUUUCAUCUCAGACUCUCUCUGUCACUGCUAUUUCAGUUCUCUCUUCGAAUUGAUUCCGAGCCACAGUGAUGUUAGUUACACGAGCACCAAUCGAUUGAUUCCGAGCUUGGAGUUCGAUUCUGAUUCUGAGCCCCUUCCACGGAUUUGAUUUCUUUGGGGGUAGCACAAUGCUAUUCUUUGCAGGAAGCAGUUGUUGCUGAUCAACUAUUUCAAAGUGCUGAACAUUCUUCAGAUGAUCUUCUUGUCUUCUUUAGUGAAGAACUAAGGGACUUAUUAGAGAGCCAGUUGAAUUAGAAAUUAGUGAAUUUUAUCAUUUGGAUACUUUUUGGAUGUUUACAGUCGUAUUUUAGAGAUUAGUGAAUCUUAUGAUUUGGAUUUUUGUUUAGUUUGUAUGUUUGAGGUUGUUAUCAGCUUGAUAUGAUAGAAGUUGAGGAUGAAAGUUAGUAUGCAGGUUAUUUGGUGUAUGGAUAUUAAAUUUUUUUUGCUUGCUUCAUAGUUGCUGCUCUUGCUUGGUUUUUUAACA